UCUCUCUCUCUCUCUCUCUCUCUCUCUCUCUUCCUCUCUAAAAAAGAAAGACCUCUUUUUCCCUCUCCCAUACUCUCCUCUCUCUUCUCACCACUGCGCCACCACCGCCACACCGAUGAUGGCAAGAGACCAAUGACACCACCACCGGAGCAUUGCCUUGUUCUUCAUCUUGUCCAAAAUAAAGACAACCACCGCCCCUUCUUUCUCCCUCACUCUUGUCUCUCUCUCUCCAUCAUACUCCCCCCGGCGAAGACCAAAAAUUGGUGAGACCACCACACCCUCCACUCGUCCUCUCUCCUUCUCUUCACUAAAACCAAAAGACCACCAUAUCUCUCCGCCGGCAAAACCAACAACCACGUCGCUGUCUUCCCUCGUCACUGCUCCACCGGCGAGAUACCCAGCCAGAGCCGCCUCUCUCUGCCCCUUUCCUCUUCUCUUAAACACUGCCAGAUAGCCACCAAGAGGGAGGGCCGCUGCCACAUGCAGCCGGCGAAUCUGCCAACGCCGAUCACCUCUCCUCCCUCUUGUUUACGAGUGAAGCAGUGGAUUCCAACGACGGCGACCUUGGGCGAAACGAAAAACUUUGAGUUGCUGGCCUAUUUUUUACUCGAGCACUGCUCGGGACCCUCGAGGUUCUCAUGAUCUUGACGUGUCAGAGAUAGAGAUUGAUUGUGCUCCAAGCUCUCUUGUUAUCUCUCUUAUUACUGUCCACUUAACUGAUAUAGAUGAUAAAGAUCCUCAACCAGCGCACCGUUGAAGAUCAGUUUCUACCCAACUUUGGUGAGACCUCUUUGCAUUCAAAGGCUCUCUUGAGUCUUUAUUUUUCAGUUAUUAAUUAUUAGCUUGCGAAAGACAUGGGCCUAUCACAGUACCUAUCUCAGAGUCAGUAUUUUAGAGGCUUCAUACAAUAGUAGACAAUGUUUAGUUUAUUUCCCGGACUAUGUUUUCAAAAAUUGAGUUAAAUCUCAUACAUUUUAUAUACUUAAGUUUCAUCAUUUAUGUUAAAGAGUAUUAAGAUGCAUGUUUAAUU
Molecule: long non-coding RNA, 1030 nt
Organism: Solanum dulcamara
Lineage: Eukaryota; Viridiplantae; Streptophyta; Magnoliopsida; Solanales; Solanaceae
Exons: 3
Source: RefSeq, a predicted model, not a curated record